Molecule: long non-coding RNA, 1004 nt
Organism: Seriola aureovittata
Lineage: Eukaryota; Metazoa; Chordata; Actinopteri; Carangiformes; Carangidae
Exons: 6
Source: RefSeq, a predicted model, not a curated record
AAAACUGGUUCAAACCGGUUUCGUUCUUAUAUUUCAGUGUAUAAACUACAAAAACAUUCGUUUGCAUUAUACAUUCGCCAUUUUACACAGCGACUGGUUGGUUGUUGUGUGUCAUCUCUCCGCGAAAAAGCCAAAUUUUACGUAAAUUUUUUCUGAGCUUUCCGUUCAUUUCCUGCCAGCAACAUGGGCAAAACGAAGCAAAUUGUGCCCCCUGAGCAAAGAAGAUGUUCGCCACGGCUGGCCUUGAAACCUAAAGCGGCACCAGUGGAGACUAAGAAAAAAGCUGCAGCAAAAAAGGGACCCAAAGCAAAGAAGGCCAAACCAGCUGAGAACGGGAGCACCAAGGCUGAGGAGCCAAAGGCCGAAGCCACUGAAGCCAAAUGAAUAACGGUCGAUGUGCUCACUCUGUGUACUUGGUGAUUGUACAGUUUUAAAUAAGUAUUUUUUACCAAGUUUUAUAUUACAAAUGUCAUUUAUAGGUUUGUUUUGGGCUUGCACUUGAUGUAACAAAACUUUGUCGUCACAUUCAUAUCCAUUUUAUAUCGAUUUAAAAACGAUACCGUCCAUAUCUUGUAGAAGUGGCAUUUUUAGUUUGUCUAAUCCUGUUUUUUUUAUUUUAAACUGCUGAAUAAUAGAUAUUUUCCAACAAGUUGGAUUUUAAAUCUAAUUUUAAACAUAAGGCAGCUAAAGAAUAUUGUUAAAAUUUGAGGGAGAAUAGGAAUUUUACCUUUUAUCCCUUGUAUUUUAAUGUUUAACUAAUGACAAGAUUUGCUUACCAAAUGUUUUGAAACACUGUAUGUCGACAUUAGAUGUAGUCAGUGAAAAUGCCACAGAAAAAUACUGUUAUUAGGUCAAAAGUUUGAUACAUCCCAAAAACAUGUAUGAUGUGAACCUGAUCAUCUGAUAUAAAGUUCUGUUAAGUUAUGUUUCUGUUAGGGGAAAGGAAGCUUUUCUGACUUCAUGGUUGAUCUAAAUGUUCUUGAAUAAAAAUUUUCAAAAUGUCA